UUACUAUCGUAACUGGACACACUACCGUUUAUCGUCUAGUGGUGCUCUUCACCGAGUGUCACUAGUGAUCGGUACGUUUACUUUGAAAAAAUUAGAGUGCUCAAAGCGGUCUUUACACGAUCGAAUAAUGUUGCAUGGAAUAAUGAAAUAGGACUUUGGUUCUAUUUUGUUGGUCUUCGGAACCAAGGUAAUGAUUAAGAGGGACAGACGGGGGCAUUAGUAUUGCGACGCUAGAGGUGAAAUUCUUGGACCGUCGCAAGACUAACUAAAGCGAAAGCAUUUGCCAAGAAUGUUUUCAUUAAUCAAGAACGAAAGUUAGAGGUUCGAAGGCGAUCAGAUACCGCCCUAGUUCUAACCAUAAACGAUGCCAACCAGCAAUCAGCCUGUGUUCUCUUGAUGACACGGCUGGCGGCUUCCGGGAAACCAAAGUCUUUCGGUUCCAGGGGAAGUAUGGUUGCAAAGCUGAAACUUAAAGGAAUUGACGGAAGGGCACCACCAGGAGUGGAGCCUGCGGCUUAAUUUGACUCAACACGGGGAAACUCACCCGGCCCGGACACUGUGAGGAUUGACAGGUUGAAGCCCUUUCUUGAUUCAGUGGGUGGUGGUGCAUGGCCGUUCUUAGUUGGUGGAGUGAUUUGUCUGGUUAAUUCCGAUAACGAACGAGACUCUAGCCUACUAAUUAGACUGAGGCAUCCUUCGUGCUGCCUCAGCGCUUCCUAGAGGGACAGACGGCGUUUCAGCCGUAUGAGAAAGAGCAAUAACAGGUCUGUGAUGCCCUUAGAUGUCCGGGGCCGCACGCGCGCUACACUGAAGAGAUCAGCGUGUAUGUGCAUCCUACUCCGAAAGGAGCGGGAAACCGAGUGAACCCUUUUCGUGCUUGGGAUUGGGGAUUGUAAUUAUUCUCCAUGAACGAGGAAUUCCCAGUAAGUGCAAGUCAUCAGCUUGCAUUGAUUAC
Molecule: ribosomal RNA, 955 nt
Filed under: uncultured metazoan
Lineage: Eukaryota; Metazoa
Description: SSU rRNA
Rfam family: Eukaryotic small subunit ribosomal RNA
Source: RNAcentral